CUUGCCUCCAGAGGCACUGCAGAUGUGGCUGCUGUGUCACGUUUGUGUCAUUAGGUGGCGGAAAGAAGAAAGGCUAUGUUUACUCUUGCUCAGUAUUCUGACCCGUGAAUGCUUGAAUGAUUAAUAGCCUGACAUU
This 136-nucleotide small nucleolar RNA is filed under the name Dasypus novemcinctus (nine-banded armadillo). Its description in RNAcentral is "Small nucleolar RNA SNORA17 (ENSDNOG00000035965.1)". It matches the Rfam family "Small nucleolar RNA SNORA17". Rfam says of the family: snoRNA ACA 17 belongs to the H/ACA family of snoRNAs and is predicted to guide pseudouridylation of the 28S rRNA at positions U4659 and U4598. It shares the same host gene together with ACA43. NB This family has a high threshold value to exclude a large number of closely related sequences that do not appear to have conserved H and ACA boxes, and may be pseudogenes. Lineage: Eukaryota; Metazoa; Chordata; Mammalia; Cingulata; Dasypodidae. The record is from RNAcentral.